This 2553-nucleotide long non-coding RNA is filed under the name Cairina moschata (Muscovy duck). Its description in RNAcentral is "domestica (muscovy Duck (domestic type)) lncRNA (ENSCMMG00000001611.1)". The record is from RNAcentral. Lineage: Eukaryota; Metazoa; Chordata; Aves; Anseriformes; Anatidae.
CUCAGUCCCAUAUAUGUGCCAGGGAUACAUCCCAAGCAGGAAAGCUCUCUGCAAGAUGUUUCCCAGCUCAUUAUUUCACUCAGUUGAUUAAGAGGAGAGGUACCAGCAGCGAGCUCCUAACCAAGACACAGGGGCUGACCAAAGCACAUGCAGAUUUCAAGAUAUUGUGAAGACUGCUGGAGAACCCAGUGACUUUGCAGCUUAUUUUUGCAUAUCUACAGGCCCUGAGUGAAGGAAAAUGAAGUCCAUAGGGCACAACACACCUCUGCAAGGCAAAGCUGCUCCCACUCCUGUAGCCACGAGGACAGGCACAGGCAUCCAGCUGGCUCUGGUGUGCCCACUGCCUCUUCAACCAAGACCUACAUGUAUUUGGAGUUUGUACCCAGGUCUAGCAGCUGAUGGACCUCCAAGCUGUCCGUGUGGGAUAUGGAGCUGGUUGGCAUACAGAGAUUUCUACCUUAUAAAUCCAAGGUCUUCUCCUUUAUCACGUUGCUUCACAACGGAGAUAAGUGUGUCCUACAAACACAUUUGUGUUCAUCUGAAUCUUUUUAUGGAUUUGCUUUGACUAUAUUCAUUCCAUUUUUGUGUUUGCUUUCUACAGUUAUCCUAGGGAACACAUUUUCUGGUAGGAAUACUCACAAGUGUGAAUGCAGCGUGAAAACACAUUUCAAACUCAUAAUAACAACCACUUACUUCACAAAAUAAUCCCAGAAAGUUACAUUCAGCCACUUGGGAACAGAAACAUAUCACAUCAUCAGAAUAUCAACAUCUCCCAAGGAUCUGGCCACAAAUGAGACACAGAGCACAGAUUAUUCCAAUAAAUUAUUUAGCCAAUAAGUCUGAACAAUAGGUCCAUAUGUAAAUAUUGUGAUCUCUUCUCAGAUAAUCUAUGAAGAAAAAUUAUUCAGUUAUGUGUCAGAUGAAUUAUUCAACCAAAGGCUUGGAAAAUAACUGAGAUUCAAAACAUUUGUUCGUACAGAAAUUCUCCUUUUUAUCAAUUAAUCUUGUUAGGAAGUUGGCUUCUGGCAUAGGAAAAACUGAAAGAAAAUGAAGCAGAACGGUUUCUUGCUGAAGAGCACUGAAUAUAUGUAAACAACAUCCUUGGUUUAAAUGUAGAGAAGGAGUCUUUGCAAGCUAGCAACUUUCUUAAAUAUUUCUUUUCCUUGAGUUUGUAAAGUUCUGCCGAGGAUGCAACACCUCAAAAUUUCUGCAGAGAUGCUCGAGGUCAUAGUUAACACGUUUCUCAAAGAUACCCAGUAAAUUAGUAAAACAGUUCUUCACACAGCUCCAUUUGUUUCCUCUGCUGGGUCAUGAACCACAUUUCCUCCUUGCACCUCUCCUGAGUUGUAUCACAGCACCCCACUAAGGAAAAUAUUAAUACAUAUCUACAUACUCUCUCUUUCAAAACCACAUUCAAAUGCUUCUCCAAGAAAAGCAGCCUGUAUCCCCCCCUGAGCAUCGAAGUCUGCCAUCCGGUAGGUUUGUACUUUAUAGUCAUUUAGAGGAUAUUAAAUCUUCCUUUGUAUGCAGAGAAUUAAGUGGUGGAGGGGCUCCGUAUUCUAUUUAAAAAAAAUAAAAUAAUAUAAAAGGGAGGAAAAAAAAACAAAAACAGUUUGGAAAGUCAUUGUGUCCAGAGAAGAAUAUUAGAGGGGCAUUAAGUGGAAAGACAAAAGGCAAGCUAGCAUCAACUCCUCGGAAAGCUGUAAAUCAUUCUGACUCCUCGGGUGGUUGGUUGACUUCAUUGUUACUUGGGUAAUUAUUGUCCUUCAUCAGAACCUAAGCUUCUAAACAGAUUUUGAAACAAAAUCAUCCCAAAUGAGCAGCCAGGAAGACCUACUGGUGUCAAGGGGGAUUCGUGGAAAAAAAAUCUUCAAGUAGAGCCUUUAAGCAAACCCAUAACUUUCCAUCUACAUUGCUAAGUUGCUUAUUUUUAGAAAAUUGGUGCUUUUUUAGGCUGUUUCUUUUUUUUGGUCACUGAGGAAUUCUUGAAGGUAGCUGGUUUCUAAUAGAGAAAAAGCCCCCAGACAAGGUUUUUGAUUUACCUUUGGACUUUUGAUGAGCGUGUAACCUGGAGGCUUAGCCCCCUCCAAACCUGCUGUUGCAGCUGCUGGCAGGAGCAUCUGCCUGCGUGUUCUGUCUCUCUUGAGAGGUGGAGGCUGGCUGCAGAUGGAUCAGGCAAACCCAAAGAGAGAGUGAAGAGCCUGCAAAUAUACGGGCAAGCCAGAAAUUUGGGGGACUUGUGUAAGAUUUGAUAAUCUAAAGCAAAGUGCAGUGAUUGAGCAUACACUACUUGCAAAGACAUAGGCCAGCAGCUUCCAAAACGGCUUCAUGGCCCUAGAAGGCUCAACCUCAGGUAGGUUCAGGUUAAUUUCAUUGUGAUUCUGAUAUUUGGGGUUGUUUUAAGCAUUCUGUCUGUGAGGAUUCAAGAAACAAAAAAGUUGAGACCGUUGUGAUGGACAGCAUGACCAUGAAAGGCAAAAGAGCUCUAAAAUUGAAACCCACCGUACCACCUGCACUGGGGAAGUGUCCAGUGCCCUACAGAGGAGCCCUGCA